The sequence is a ribosomal RNA, 1383 nucleotides long. It matches the Rfam family "Bacterial small subunit ribosomal RNA".
CCCGGGGCGCUAACUGCAGUCGACGAUGAACCCAGCUUGCUGGGUGGAUUAGUGGCGAACGGGUGAGUAACACGUGAGUAACCUGCCCUUAACUCUGGGAUAAGCCUGGGAAACUGGGUCUAAUACCGGAUAGGAGCGUCCACCGCAUGGUGGGUGUUGGAAAGAUUUAUCGGUUUUGGAUGGACUCGCGGCCUAUCAGCUUGUUGGUGAGGUAAUGGCUCACCAAGGCGACGACGGGUAGCCGGCCUGAGAGGGUGACCGGCCACACUGGGACUGAGACACGGCCCAGACUCCUACGGGAGGCAGCAGUGGGGAAUAUUGCACAAUGGGCGAAAGCCUGAUGCAGCGACGCCGCGUGAGGGAUGACGGCCUUCGGGUUGUAAACCUCUUUCAGUAGGGAAGAAGCGAAAGUGACGGUACCUGCAGAAGAAGCACCGGCUAACUACGUGCCAGCAGCCGCGGUAAUACGUAGGGUGCGAGCGUUAUCCGGAAUUAUUGGGCGUAAAGAGCUCGUAGGCGGUUUGUCGCGUCUGUCGUGAAAGUCCGGGGCUUAACCCCGGAUCUGCGGUGGGUACGGGCAGACUAGAGUGCAGUAGGGGAGACUGGAAUUCCUGGUGUAGCGGUGGAAUGCGCAGAUAUCAGGAGGAACACCGAUGGCGAAGGCAGGUCUCUGGGCUGUAACUGACGCUGAGGAGCGAAAGCAUGGGGAGCGAACAGGAUUAGAUACCCUGGUAGUCCAUGCCGUANACGUUGGGCACUAGGUGUGGGGACCAUUCCACGGUUUCCGCGCCGCAGCUAACGCAUUAAGUGCCCCGCCUGGGGAGUACGGCCGCAAGGCUAANACUCAAAGGAAUUGACGGGGGCCCGCACAAGCGGCGGAGCAUGCGGAUUAAUUCGAUGNCACGCGAAGAACCUUACCAAGGCUUGACAUGUUCUCGAUCGCCGUAGAGAUACGGUUUCCCCUUUGGGGCGGNUUCACAGGUGGUGCAUGGGUGUCGUCAGCUCGUGUCGUGAGAUGUUGGGUUAAGUCCCCGCACGAGCGCACCCNUCGUUCCAUGNUGCCAGCACGUCGUGGUGGGGACUCAUGGGAGACUGCCCGGGGUCACUCGGGAGGAAGGUGAGGACGACGUCAAAUCAUCAUGCCCCUUNAGGUCUGGGGCUUCCGCAUGCUACAGGGCCGGGUACAUGGGUUGGCGAAACUGGUAGGGUGAGCUAUCCCCAAAACCCGGUCUANUUCGAAUGGGGUUGCAANUCGAACCAUGGAAUCGGAUCCCUAUAAUCCAAAAACACACCUGCGGGUAUAAUUUCCGGGCUUUUACACCCCCGUCAUUCCCAAAUGUAACACCCAACGGGGGUACCUUGGGGGACUCAAGGACUGAAAAU